CAGUGAUAAACUGGAGGAAGGUGGGGAUGACGUCAAGUCAUCAUGGCCCUUACGACCAGGGCUACACACGUGCUACAAUGGCGCAUACAAAGAGAAGCGACCUCGCGAGAGCAAGCGGACCUCAUAAAGUGCGUCGUAGUCCGGACUGGAGUCUGCAACUCGACUCCAUGAAGUCGGAAUCGCUAGUAAUCGUGGAUCAGAAUGCCACGGUGAAUACGUUCCCGGGCCUUGUACACACCGCCCGUCACACCAUGGGAGUGGGUUGCAAAAGAAGUAGGUAGCUUAACCUUCGGGAGGGCGCUUACCACUUUGUGAUUCAUGACUGGGGUGAAGUCGUAACAAGGUAACCGUAGGGGAACCUGC
This 363-nucleotide ribosomal RNA is filed under the name Salmonella enterica. RNAcentral's name for it is "bacterial SSU rRNA". It matches the Rfam family "Bacterial small subunit ribosomal RNA", at positions 1153 to 1515 of the family's 1533-position model. RNAcentral also lists the same sequence under 2 other names. Lineage: Bacteria; Pseudomonadati; Pseudomonadota; Gammaproteobacteria; Enterobacterales; Enterobacteriaceae. The record is from RNAcentral.